CCCGACUGCUAUCGGAUUGAGAUUUAGCCACGCGAGUCGAACGUCCCCCUCCUGCGGGGGGCGUGGCGUACGGCUCAGUAACACGUAGUCAACCUGCCCUGGAGACACGGACAACCCCGGGAAACUGGGACUAAUCCGUGAUAGGUCACCUCAUCUGGAAGGAGAGAUGGCCCAAAGGGGCGCGCGGGCUUCUUCUGCGCGUUCGCUCCAGGAUGGGACUGCGACCGAUCAGGCUGUUGGCGGGGUAAAGGCCCACCAAACCUGUAACCGGUACGGGCCUUGAGAGAGGUGGCCCGGAGAUGGACACUGAGAAAAGGGUCCAGGUCCUACGGGGCGCAGCAGGCGCGAAACCUUCGCAAUGCGCGAAAGCGUGACGAGGUUAAUCCGAGUGAUUUCCGCUGAGGAGACCUUUUGUCGGCUGUAAAUAGGCCGGCGAAUAAGGAGAGGGCAAGCCUGGUGU
This 460-nucleotide ribosomal RNA is filed under the name uncultured archaeon. RNAcentral's name for it is "bacterial SSU rRNA". It matches the Rfam family "Archaeal small subunit ribosomal RNA", at positions 24 to 458 of the family's 1478-position model. The record is from RNAcentral.